AACUAAGUUUGUUAUUGGUAUGAGCUUUCAUGUGCAUGCACACUUCUUCAUAUAUCUUUAGGUAUCUGAAGAAGUGUGCAUGCACACAAAGCUCAUAUCAAUAACAAACUUAGUUGG
Non-coding RNA from Podarcis lilfordi (Lilford's wall lizard), 117 nucleotides. The record is from the annotation of a GenBank genome assembly. NCBI's taxonomy places the organism in Eukaryota, Metazoa, Chordata, Lepidosauria, Squamata, Lacertidae.